RNAcentral lists this long non-coding RNA (745 nucleotides) under Monodelphis domestica (gray short-tailed opossum). RNAcentral describes it as "lncRNA (ENSMODG00000048056.1)". The record is from RNAcentral. Lineage: Eukaryota; Metazoa; Chordata; Mammalia; Didelphimorphia; Didelphidae.
GCCAUCACUGUUCUAGGUGCUUUACAAAUAGUAUCUCAAAGGGAAAAAAGUGUGAAAAAUGCCCUAGAGAGUAGAAGGUAAUUCAAAGGGAGACUCACAGAUGCAGAAUAGUUUUGAAGCUAAAAUAUUGAAUUUAUUAUUUUCUUUAAAACAAAAAAAUACCAACAGAGAUUCAUGGUUCAUUUAUAAUCUUCUUCUCAUCUUUAUAUGUGAGAAUAUUUGUUUAUUGACAUUUGUCAAGUUCAUAAUAAGAUUUAUAAACAAUAAUGACCACAGUACAAUAUUAUAGUCAGUGGUUAAAGACAGAGUAUGGAGCUUAGCUUUUGGACUCAAGAGAGGCAGAGUUGACAUUCUGUUGUGAAAGGAAAAACAUUAUAUUCUUGGUUAGAUGGAAAGACAUUUAACAGAGGUGCUUAUAAAUACAGCCAGCCUCUUUUUCUUUUCUCCCCAAGAAAGAAGGUUGAAAUCUCUCCAUUCUUAUACUGUUGAUGAUAUGAAACCCCUAAAUUCUAUAACGGAUAACAUGGAGGAGAAAAUGUCAGCUGGAAAAAUACUUAAGUUAGGUGUUACCAGAUGUCUGCCCCUUUCUAUUAAAGAAGGCUCCUCUAUGUUCAUUAAUGGGGCCCUUGUGUGUAGAUUUCCUCCAGAAAAAGAAAUCUUGAAGAAAACCUACCUCAACCAUUUAAUUUUACAUACAAAGAGAUCUUACUGUUCAGAGAAGAUGGCUUUGACUCUACCAUUAUAA